RNAcentral lists this ribosomal RNA (410 nucleotides) under Vibrio parahaemolyticus. Its description in RNAcentral is "bacterial SSU rRNA". It matches the Rfam family "Bacterial small subunit ribosomal RNA", at positions 939 to 1348 of the family's 1533-position model. The record is from RNAcentral. Lineage: Bacteria; Pseudomonadati; Pseudomonadota; Gammaproteobacteria; Vibrionales; Vibrionaceae.
AUGUGGUUUAAUUCGAUGCAACGCGAAGAACCUUACCUACUCUUGACAUCCAGAGAACUUUCCAGAGAUGGAUUGGUGCCUUCGGGAACUCUGAGACAGGUGCUGCAUGGCUGUCGUCAGCUCGUGUUGUGAAAUGUUGGGUUAAGUCCCGCAACGAGCGCAACCCUUAUCCUUGUUUGCCAGCGAGUAAUGUCGGGAACUCCAGGGAGACUGCCGGUGAUAAACCGGAGGAAGGUGGGGACGACGUCAAGUCAUCAUGGCCCUUACGAGUAGGGCUACACACGUGCUACAAUGGCGCAUACAGAGGGCGGCCAACUUGCGAAAGUGAGCGAAUCCCAAAAAGUGCGUCGUAGUCCGGAUUGGAGUCUGCAACUCGACUCCAUGAAGUCGGAAUCGCUAGUAAUCGUGGA